This 371-nucleotide ribosomal RNA is filed under the name uncultured bacterium. Its description in RNAcentral is "bacterial SSU rRNA". It matches the Rfam family "Bacterial small subunit ribosomal RNA", at positions 982 to 1360 of the family's 1533-position model. The record is from RNAcentral.
UGACAUCCGAUGCAUAGCUUAGAGAUAAGUGAAGUCCUUCGGGACAUCGAGACAGGUGGUGCAUGGUUGUCGUCAGCUCGUGUCGUGAGAUGUUGGGUUAAGUCCCGCAACGAGCGCAACCCUUAUUGCCAGUUACUACGAAAGAGGACUCUGGCGAGACUGCCGUUGACAAAACGGAGGAAGGUGGGGAUGACGUCAAAUCAUCAUGCCCUUUAUGACCUGGGCUACACACGUACUACAAUGGCGUUUAACAAAGAGAAGCAAGACCGCGAGGUGGAGCAAAACUCAAAAACAACGUCUCAGUUCAGAUUGCAGGCUGCAACUCGCCUGCAUGAAGUCGGAAUGCUAGUAAUCGCGGAUCAGCAUGCCCU